This 294-nucleotide ribosomal RNA is filed under the name uncultured bacterium. RNAcentral's name for it is "partial 16S ribosomal RNA". It matches the Rfam family "Bacterial small subunit ribosomal RNA", at positions 775 to 1067 of the family's 1533-position model. The record is from RNAcentral.
GGAUUAGAUACCCUGGUAGUCUACGCUGUAAACGAUGAAAACUAGCUGUUAGGAGUUUUAAAACUCUUAGUGGCGUAGCUAACGCAAUAAGUUUUCCGCCUGGGGAGUACGGCCGCAAGGUUAAAACUCAAAGGAAUUGACGGGGGCUCGCACAAGCGGUGGAUCAUGUGGUUUAAUUCGAUGCAACGCGAAGAACCUUACCUACCCUUGACAUCCUCAGAAGCUUUCAGAGAUGAGAGUGUGCCUUCGGGAACUGGGUGACAGGUGCUGCAUGGCUGUCGUCAGCUCGUGUUG